Molecule: ribosomal RNA, 480 nt
Filed under: uncultured bacterium
Lineage: Bacteria
Description: partial 16S ribosomal RNA
Rfam family: Bacterial small subunit ribosomal RNA
Source: RNAcentral
GACGAACGCUGGCGGCGUGCUUAACACAUGCAAGUCGAACGGAAAGGCCUGGUUUUUGUUGGGUACUGCGGUUGCGAGCGUGGGAGUCGGGUGAGAGUAACGUGCGCGUUCCUUUGCCAUAACUUGAAUAAGCUUGGGCUACUAGCUGUUAUUCGCGCUUGCUGUGUGGUGUGGUGUGGGUAGUGGCGGCCGAUUUGUUGGUGGUUGGGGAUGAACUCGCGGUGUAUGGGGUUGUUGGUGGGGUAGUGGUUUACCAAGGCGGCGCCGGGUAGCCGGCCUGAGAGGGUGACCGGCCACAUUGGGAAUGAGAUAAGGCCCAGACGCAGACGGGAGGCAGCAGUGGGGAAUAGUGCACAAUGGGCGGAAGCCUGAUGGAGCAACGCCGCGUGCGGGAUGACGGCCUUCGGGUUGUAAACAGCUUUCGCCUGUGACGAAGCGGGAGUGACGGUAAUGGGUAAAGAAGCACCGGCUAACUACGUG